This 324-nucleotide ribosomal RNA is filed under the name uncultured eukaryote. RNAcentral describes it as "partial 18S ribosomal RNA". It matches the Rfam family "Eukaryotic small subunit ribosomal RNA", at positions 1470 to 1796 of the family's 1831-position model. The record is from RNAcentral.
CCCUUAGAUGUUCUGAACCGCACGCGUGUUACACUGAUGCAUUCAACGAGCUUUACCUUGGCCGAGAGGCCUGGGAAAUCUUUUUAGCAUGCAUCGUGAUAGGGAUUGAUUAUUGCAAUUAUUAAUCAUGAACGAGGAAUUCCUAGUAAACGCAUUUCAUCAAAAUGCGUUGAUUACGUCCCUGCCCUUUGUACACACCGCCCGUCGCACCUACCGAUUGAGUGGUCCGGUGAAGUCUCGAGAUUGUGGCAAUCUCCUUUAUUGGAGUUUGACUGCGAGAACUUGCCUAAACCUUAUCACUUAGAGGAAGGUGAAGUCGUAACA